GGGUAUUUGGCUCCAGAAUAUGCAUCCUCUGGAAAGCUUACAGAGAAGUCGGAUGUAUUCUCCUUUGGUGUAAUGCUUCUCGAGCUGAUUACUGGACGUCGGCCUGUUGACUCUACUCAAUCAUACAUCGAAGAUAGUUUGGUGGACUGGGCACGCCCAUUACUCACACGAGCUUUAGAAGAUGAAAAGUUUGAUGGCCUUGUUGAUCGUCGGCUAGAAAAUGAUUAUAACCAUA
This 235-nucleotide unclassified non-coding RNA is filed under the name Hevea brasiliensis (rubber tree). Lineage: Eukaryota; Viridiplantae; Streptophyta; Magnoliopsida; Malpighiales; Euphorbiaceae. The record is from RNAcentral.